GAUGAACGCUGGCGGCGUGCCUAAUACAUGCAAGUCGAGCGAACAGACGAGGAGCUUGCUCCUCUGACGUUAGCGGCGGACGGGUGAGUAACACGUGGAUAACCUACCUAUAAGACUGGGAUAACUUCGGGAAACCGGAGCUAAUACCGGAUAAUAUAUUGAACCGCAUGGUUCAAUAGUGAAAGACGGUUUUGCUGUCACUUAUAGAUGGAUCCGCGCCGCAUUAGCUAGUUGGUAAGGUAACGGCUUACCAAGGCGACGAUGCGUAGCCGACCUGAGAGGGUGAUCGGCCACACUGGAACUGAGACACGGUCCAGACGCCGACGGGAGGCAGCAGUAGGGAAUCUUCCGCAAUGGGCGAAAGCCUGACGGAGCAACGCCGCGUGAGUGAUGAAGGUCUUCGGAUCGUAAAACUCUGUUAUUAGGGAAGAACAAAUGUGUAAGUAACUAUGCACGUCUUGACGGUACCUAAUCAGAAAGCCACGGCUAACUACGU
RNAcentral lists this ribosomal RNA (496 nucleotides) under uncultured bacterium. Its description in RNAcentral is "partial 16S ribosomal RNA". It matches the Rfam family "Bacterial small subunit ribosomal RNA", at positions 28 to 506 of the family's 1533-position model. The record is from RNAcentral.